UACGAACCGUACGAACGUUAUUCGGAAUCACUGGGCUUAAAGGGUGCGUAGGCGGCCAUGUACGUGAGGUGUGAAAUCCCUCGGCUCAACCGAGGAACUGCGCUUCAUACUGCAUGGCUUGAGGGAGACAGGGGUAAGCGGAACUGAUGGUGGAGCGGUGAAAUGCGUUGAUAUCAUCAGGAACACCGGUGGCGAAAGCGGCUUACUGGGUCUCUUCUGACGCUGAGGUACGAAAGCUAGGGUAGCGAACGGG
Molecule: ribosomal RNA, 253 nt
Filed under: uncultured bacterium
Lineage: Bacteria
Description: partial 16S ribosomal RNA
Rfam family: Bacterial small subunit ribosomal RNA
Source: RNAcentral